Molecule: long non-coding RNA, 576 nt
Filed under: Cucumis sativus (cucumber)
Lineage: Eukaryota; Viridiplantae; Streptophyta; Magnoliopsida; Cucurbitales; Cucurbitaceae
Description: long non-coding RNA (CSAT_LNC002657)
Source: RNAcentral
GUGGUUGUGUGGGGUGGGUUAAAUGAAGGGAAAGGUAUGUCCUUUGGAAGAGAAGGCAAUACUGGUUUUGGGAGUGAUGGCAAUUCGGGUACUUUGGGAAGUUCUGGUUUAGGAAUAUUUGGUAAUUCGGGCAAUUUAGGGAGUUCUGGUUUUGGUAAGUUUGGUAGUUCAGGUAGUUUUGGGAGUUCAGGUUUUGGUAGAUGAUCGGGAACUUCAGCAAGUUUAGGGAGAUCAAACUUAGGCAUGGUUGGAAUUUCAGGAACUUUGGAGUGAUCAAAGUUAGGUACUUUUGGUAAUUCAGGCAACUUUGGAAGUUCAGGCUUUGGCAAUUCAGGGACUUUAGGCUUUUCUAGAGGUGGAAGAUGAGGCAGUGGAGGUAACUCAACUUUCGGUAGUGGAGGAAGCUCUGACUUUGGCAAAGUGGGUAUUUCAGGCUUUGGAAGCCCUUCAGGUCCAUGAGGUAUUGGCGUCUCCAAGAGAUGCCUUGCGCUCACUGACAUAAUAAGAAAAUCAAAGCUCAUGGUGACUAUAAGAAUACCAAGUACCAAAGAAGCUUUAAGGGUUGAUAAGGGACGA